AAAAAAAAUACAAAUUACAAUAAUUAAAUUAAAAAACACCAUUAUUUACAUGUGGCCAUAACCAUAAAGUCACAAGUUAGUUAUGCAAUGUCAAUGCCAGUAAAAAGAUUGAAAGAGUAAAAAAAAAGAACUGUCAGUGGAUCGACAUGUGCACGACCUGUGAGAAAUUGCCACGUAAAUUAUUAAAUGUGAGCAGAUUUAUGAAAUUUGCUUGAGAAAUGAGUGCCAAAUAUUAAAACUAUAUUAGGAGCAAUCCGAUCCGCAGCACUACAAUCGUAAUACGUAACAGAAGAACAAAAAAGAAUACACUGAGUACCCACAUACAAACAAUAGCAAAAGAAA
Ostrinia furnacalis (Asian corn borer) is the source of this 342-nucleotide long non-coding RNA. RefSeq lists it as uncharacterized. The transcript has 2 exons. Lineage: Eukaryota; Metazoa; Arthropoda; Insecta; Lepidoptera; Crambidae. The record is from RefSeq and is a predicted model, not a curated record.